CACGAGUUGAUGUUUUUUGCCUCAUUGAGUCCAGCUGAACGCAGAUCUUUAACCCUGUUGAUAUUUUUGGUACCAGAAGCAAUAAAAUUCCAACCCAUCUUCUCACAGUCUUGUGGUGACACAGAGAUAUAAGAAUAUAAUUACUCCUGUGGGCCUAAUCCAGAGGAGCAGCAUGAAGAAGAAGAGGAGGAUGGAGAUAAAGAAAUAGCUGCCAUGAACAGAGCUGGAAAACUGAAAGGCGAACAGAAUCUCUGAGGGGAUUUUUGAGGGAUUUUUACUAGAAAAGUUUCAUGAUGUGUUGAGGAGAGAGAGUGAAGCUGUGUAAUACAUGCUGAAUUUGUUCUGUAAUAAUCUCCACCUUCGCUAUCACCUCUAACCAGCUUGUGCAACAGAAGAAAAAAAACACUUUCGGUUUUACAAGAACAGACCAUAUUCUUGUUUUGUACUUCGCAACUUCUUGAAUAAAAAACCACAAAGACGUCAA
Long non-coding RNA from Girardinichthys multiradiatus, 484 nucleotides. RefSeq lists it as uncharacterized. Lineage: Eukaryota; Metazoa; Chordata; Actinopteri; Cyprinodontiformes; Goodeidae. The transcript is spliced from 2 exons. The record is from RefSeq and is a predicted model, not a curated record.